Molecule: non-coding RNA, 73 nt
Organism: Triticum aestivum (bread wheat)
Lineage: Eukaryota; Viridiplantae; Streptophyta; Magnoliopsida; Poales; Poaceae
Source: Rfam
GGUGGGGUCUUCGACUGGGGUGAAGUCGUAACAAGGUAGCCGUAGGGGAACCUGUGGCUGGAUUGAAUCCUUC